CACGUUUGACAUGUCUAGUUUGGUCGGCAGAGAUGCCUUCCUUCAGUUCGGCUGGCUAGAACACAGGUGCUGCAUGGCUGUCGUCAGCUCGUGUCGUGAGAUGUUGGGUUAAGUCCCGCAACGAGCGCAACCCUCGCUACUAGUUGCUACCAGGUUAAGCUGAGCACUCUAGUGGAACUGCCGGUGCAAGCCGGAGGAAGGUGGGAUGACGUCAAGUCCUCAUCGG
RNAcentral lists this ribosomal RNA (226 nucleotides) under uncultured bacterium. RNAcentral describes it as "partial 16S ribosomal RNA". It matches the Rfam family "Bacterial small subunit ribosomal RNA", at positions 979 to 1198 of the family's 1533-position model. The record is from RNAcentral.